Molecule: small nuclear RNA, 100 nt
Organism: Cavia aperea (Brazilian guinea pig)
Lineage: Eukaryota; Metazoa; Chordata; Mammalia; Rodentia; Caviidae
Source: Ensembl
GUGCUUGCUUUGACAGCAUAUAUACUAAAGCUGGAACGAGGCAGAGAAGAUUAGCAUGGCCUCUGCACAAGGAUGACCCAAAGCUUUUCCCACUGAAUUU